UCACGCGUUACACACCGCCUGGGUCACGUUCGCAAACGCCGCCUGAACAUGACCCCUUUCUUCCGCACCUUCACUCGGAUGACCCUUGAACGCGCCUUGGAUCCUUGACUGCGAACGUGCCCAGGACCUUCGCACCCUCUCCUUGGAAUUGCCUUGCACCUUCGCUCCGCCUGAUUGACUCCGCACAGACAACGAAUGCUCCGGAUCUUCGCCAAUGACCCGACGAAGUUGAGCGGCAAAUGAAUGACGUUAGGGAUGAACGAGGGUGAAAUUCAAUCCGGUAGGCUCUGCGGCGAUUCCAUUCCCAAAUAAUGUCGAGCUGAGGGUGAUGAUCAAAAACCUUGAUCCAGAUCCCCAGCACAAGUUAGCGCCAGUGUUCAUUCAUUGUACAGAUCCUUUUCUGCACAAUUAAAUGACUGCUCACCAUUGGGCAACAUGUUUCUUCAGCACAAUUUUCUGAAUCCAGACCUGAAAGGUGACUGCCACUCCAUGAUCCAGCUGAACCAAAACGUGCCAUCAUGCCUCUUGCAUUUUCAAUUGGCAACUUGCUGCAAUAUUUAGAGUUUCGGUAUCAGUUUGAUUUGCAUAAUGCCAAGUGUACUUCCAAUCCAUGUUUCUGAACAAACAUUGACCAGUUCUAUCUAAAGAACAAACCUCAUGAAGACCACAAGGAAAUUGGGUCCAACGUGUCAGGACCAUUCUGCCUGAGAUUGUGCAGUGAGUUAUCAAUUGUAAUGGUCAUUAGGAAAUCCAAUUUAAAAGUAUGAACUGGGUCCUCAGAUUGUUCAUGCACAUUGCAAUUGUAUCUGAUAAUCUGAAUGACCGGAUUAAACAUUUUCAGCAGUCCAUACUACUUGCUCGACAGCAUCAUAUCACUUCUUCAUUUGGCAGUCUGGAUCACUGGCAUCUCAUGUGAACUCCAUUUCGUUGCUUCUUACAUGGACCUACAAGAUUGCAACUAGGCAUCUAGCUGACAAUAUGAUAGGCAUGUUCUUGGACCAGAGCUCAGAAUAUGUAGUGCUGAGCAUUGUGUAGUUUUGAUUAGAUCUCUUUGGGGACAUCUGUCCGGCACUUGUUGGAGCCACUAGUCACAAUGCUUGGGCCACUAGGAUAUCACAAUGUGCAGCCAUACUGCCGUGCAUCAUGGAUCAUGAGGACCACAUGUUAUAUCAGGUCUAGUUUGUCAGAAGCAGUUCUUCCAGCGAUCAUGCAACGAAAAGAAC
Molecule: long non-coding RNA, 1223 nt
Filed under: Setaria italica (foxtail millet)
Lineage: Eukaryota; Viridiplantae; Streptophyta; Magnoliopsida; Poales; Poaceae
Description: long non-coding RNA (SITA_LNC001524)
Source: RNAcentral